AGAGUUUGAUCCUGGCUCAGGAUGAACGCUAGCUACAGGCUUAACACAUGCAAGUCGAGGGGCAGCAUGAACUUAGCUUGCUAAGUUUGAUGGCGACCGGCGCACGGGUGAGUAACACGUAUCCAACCUUCCGUUUACUCAGGGAUAGCCUUUCGAAAGAAAGAUUAAUAACGGAUAGUAUGGUGAGAUUGCAUGAUAGCACCAUUAAAGAUUUAUUGGUAAACGAUGGGGAUGCGUUCCAUUAGG
This 246-nucleotide ribosomal RNA is filed under the name uncultured bacterium. Its description in RNAcentral is "partial 16S ribosomal RNA". It matches the Rfam family "Bacterial small subunit ribosomal RNA", at positions 8 to 245 of the family's 1533-position model. The record is from RNAcentral.